RNAcentral lists this ribosomal RNA (301 nucleotides) under uncultured bacterium. RNAcentral describes it as "partial 16S ribosomal RNA". It matches the Rfam family "Bacterial small subunit ribosomal RNA", at positions 509 to 807 of the family's 1533-position model. The record is from RNAcentral.
CAGUCGCCGCGGUAAAACGUAGGGUGCGAGCGUUAAUCGGAAUUAUUGGGCGUAAAGCGUGCGCAGGCGGUUUUGUAAGACAGGCGUGAAAUCCCCGGGCUCAACCUGGGAAUGGCGCUUGUGACUGCAAAGCUAGAGUGCGGCAGAGGGGGAUGGAAUUCCGCGUGUAGCAGUGAAAUGCGUAGAUAUGCGGAGGAACACCGAUGGCGAAGGCAAUCCCCUGGGCCUGCACUGUCGCUCAUGCACGAAAGCGUGGGGAGCAAACAGGAUUAGAUACCCGCGUAGUCCCUGUCUCUUAUAC